Molecule: unclassified non-coding RNA, 288 nt
Filed under: Hevea brasiliensis (rubber tree)
Lineage: Eukaryota; Viridiplantae; Streptophyta; Magnoliopsida; Malpighiales; Euphorbiaceae
Source: RNAcentral
AGCCCGACUACAUUGGCUCUGAGAGUAAACCGGGAGAUUUGCAAGAGAAAAAGGAGGUCAAAUCAGAGUCGGAUCUUGAGCCGAAAUCGGCGAGAUCUCGGUUUGCACCUGGUGGCUUCACUGAGGAGAAGGCGAAACAACUCCGCAUGUUGACUAGUGAUACGUCGUCGUUUCACGAUGCUAUGUAUCACUCGGCGAUAGCGUCUCGGCUCGCUUCAGACUUCAGGCGCCGAUCCGAUCGGUAGUCGUCCGGGGAAUACGGCUAGUAACCGGAUCUUUCAUGUAUUU